AUAAAUACCUGGCAGGGGAGAUGCUGUGAUAAAGAAGGUGUUUUACCCUGGGCAAGGCCGUGCUAUUGCACACCAGUUGCCCUGAGCCCUGCAAAUUUCCCAAAUGUAGAAACCUUAAAUGCAUCCUGUCUGGCAGUGAUAGGAUUGCAUUUGUGUUCUUCCC
Myripristis murdjan (pinecone soldierfish) is the source of this 163-nucleotide small nuclear RNA. Its record names the gene U1. It matches the Rfam family "U1 spliceosomal RNA". Rfam says of the family: U1 is a small nuclear RNA (snRNA) component of the spliceosome (involved in pre-mRNA splicing). Its 5' end forms complementary base pairs with the 5' splice junction, thus defining the 5' donor site of an intron. Lineage: Eukaryota; Metazoa; Chordata; Actinopteri; Holocentriformes; Holocentridae. The record is from Ensembl.